CUCGGUUUGUUUCUCAAAAACCUGCAAAGAUUGUGUUAUCAAGUAUGUAAGUUGUUGCUCAUUCGAUGAGCUUCAAGACACACAUUCGAAAUUACAAGAUGAGAGUAGAAGGGCUUUCUGCUAAUAAGAAGUCCCAUUUUUCCGUUAUCUUGGAAGUUUUUCAAGUGACCUCCAAUUUUGUGAUGGUUGACAUUCAGAAAGCAGCAGGAGAUGGUGUUGAAU
Non-coding RNA from Lactuca sativa (garden lettuce), 222 nucleotides. Lineage: Eukaryota; Viridiplantae; Streptophyta; Magnoliopsida; Asterales; Asteraceae. The record is from RefSeq and is a predicted model, not a curated record.